GAACGCUGGCGGCGCACAUAAGACAUGCAAGUCGAACGGACUUAACUCAUUCUUUUAGUUUGAGAGCGGUUAGUGGCGGACUGGUGAGUAAUGUGUAAGCAACCUGCCUAUCAGAGGGGAAUAACAGUGAGAAAUCAUUGCUAAUACCGCAUAUGCUCACGGUAACACAUGUUACAGUGAGGAAAGGAGCAAUCCGCUGAUAGAUGGGCUUACAUCUGAUUAGCUAGUUGGUGGGGUAACGGCCUACCAAGGCGACGAUCAGUAGCCGGACUGAGAGGUUGAACGGCCACAUUGGGACUGAGAUACGGCCCAGACUCCUACGGGAGGCAGCAGUCGGGAAUAUUGCGCAAUGGAGGAAACUCUGACGCAGUGACGCCGCGUAUAGGAAGAAGGUUUUCGGAUUGUAAACUAUUGUCGUUAGGGAAGAUACAAGACAGUACCUAAGGAGGAAGCCCCGGCUAACUAUGUGCCAGCAGCCGCGGUAAUACAUAGGGGGCGAGCGUUGUCCGGAUUUAUUGGGUGUAAAGGGUGCGUAGACGGAGAGGCAAGUUGGUUGUGAAAUCCCUCGGCUUAACUGAGGAACUGCAACCAAAACUAUCUCCCUUGAGUGUCGGAGGGGAAAGUGGAAUUCCUAGUGUAGCGGUGAAAUGCGUAGAUAUUAGGAGGAAUACCGGUGGCGAAGGCGACUUUCUGGACGAUAACUGACGUUGAGGCACGAAAGUGUGGGGAGCAAACAGGAUUAGAUACCCUGGUAGUCCACACUGUAAACGAUGGAUACUAGGUGUAGGGUGUAUUAAGCACUCUGUGCCGCCGCUAACGCAUUAAGUAUCCCACCUGGGGAGUACGACCGCAAGGUUGAAACUCAAAGGAAUUGACGGGGGCCCGCACAAGCAGUGGAUCAUGUGGUUUAAUUCGAAGCAACGCGAAGAACCUUACCAGGGCUUGACAUAUACAGGAAUAUUCUAGAGAUAGUUUAGCACUUCGGUGCCUGUAUACAGGUGGUGCAUGGUUGUCGUCAGCUCGUGUCGUGAGAUGUUGGGUUAAGUCCCGCAACGAGCGCAACCCCUAUUGCUAGUUGCUAGCAGGUUAAGCUGAGAACUCUAGCAAGACUGCCGGUGAUAAAUCGGAGGAAGGUGGGGAUGACGUCAAAUCAUCAUGCCCUUUAUGUCCUGGGCUACACACGUGAUACAAUGGUAAUUACAGAGGGAAGCAAUACAGUGAUGUGGAGCAAAACCCUAAAAGUUAUCUCAGUUCGGAUUGAAGUCUGAAAUUCGACUUCAUGAAGCUGGAAUUGCUAGUAAUGGCAGGUCAGCAUACUGCCGUGAAUACGUUCCCGGGCCUUGUACACACCGCCCGUCACACCAUGAGAGUUGGAAAUACCCGAAGCCUGUGAGCUAACAAUCGAGGCAGCAGUCGAAGGUAGAGCCAAUGAUUGGGGUGAAGUCGUAACA
This 1451-nucleotide ribosomal RNA is filed under the name uncultured rumen bacterium. Its description in RNAcentral is "bacterial SSU rRNA". It matches the Rfam family "Bacterial small subunit ribosomal RNA". The record is from RNAcentral.